RNAcentral lists this ribosomal RNA (492 nucleotides) under uncultured bacterium. RNAcentral's name for it is "partial 16S ribosomal RNA". It matches the Rfam family "Bacterial small subunit ribosomal RNA", at positions 29 to 507 of the family's 1533-position model. The record is from RNAcentral.
AGUGAACGCUGGCGGUAGGCCUAACACAUGCAAGUCGAACGGCAGCACAGUAAGAGCUUGCUCUUACGGGUGGCGAGUGGCGGACGGGUGAGGAAUACAUCGGAAUCUACUUUUUCGUGGGGGAUAACGUAGGGAAACUUACGCUAAUACCGCAUACGACCUACGGGUGAAAGCAGGGGAUCUUCGGACCUUGCGCGAUUGAAUGAGCCGAUGUCGGAUUAGCUAGUUGGCGGGGUAAAGGCCCACCAAGGCGACGAUCCGUAGCUGGUCUGAGAGGAUGAUCAGCGACACUGGAACUGAGACACGGUCCAGACUCCUGCGGGAGGCAGCAGUGGGGAAUAUUGGAGAAUGGGCGCAAGCCUGAUCCAGCCAUACCGCGUGGGUGAAGAAGGCCUUCGGGUUGUAAAGCCCUUUUGUUGGGAAAGAAAAGCAGCAGGUUAAUACCCCGCUGUUCUGACGGUACCCAAAGAAUAAGCACCGGCUAACUUCGUG